AUGAAGGCUGCCCUCUAAGCGUCUGGCUGGAAAGACACUUCCAGAGCUCCUUUUCUGCCUGGCUCUGUGGUUGGCCUCCUUUUCUGUCCUGCUGCAAGGCACAGCUUAGAAACAUGCUUAGAUGUAAAAGCUGAGCAGGGGGACGUCCAGCAGGUCCGCAUAAGGAACCACCAGCUGAAAGCUAUGGCCCAAGGCAAGCAUUCCCCAUUCAGGCCUCAUUUGACUGAACAGGAAUUGCCAAAAAACACAGCUGAAUCCUAGACAGAUGUUCUUCCUGGACCACACCCAAGGGUCUCCUUGAAGAAAAAGCUCAUUCAGCUUUCCUCUCUACGUGAGGAAGAAAUUCAACAGAUAUUCUUACCUUUGGAAGAGUG
This is a non-coding RNA of Pogona vitticeps (central bearded dragon), 374 nucleotides long. Lineage: Eukaryota; Metazoa; Chordata; Lepidosauria; Squamata; Agamidae. The record is from RefSeq and is a predicted model, not a curated record.